AUGUGUCGCCCUCUGGUGCUCGGGUGAGGAACUGCAGCAGGUGGAGGCGCCAUGUGGAAGUCUUUUACGGAUCCUCUUCGGCGCUCAUCUAAACUAGUCUAAAUCCUGACAUGAGCAGACCAUGAGGAGCUUUGUGAAAACAGCUCAGACAAAGACGCUGCUCCACAACAAGUUUGUGAUGUGUCUGGGAGGAUCAGCGCAGCGGUUGAUGUACAAAGACCUUCAGACCGACAACUUUUUGACCCUGUCUAAGCUCAAGUCCAAAGGGGAGCACUCAGGGAGAGCAAUGGGUUUGCCUGGGUCUCAUGUCCAAUGGGACAGACUAAAGAGAGGUGGGACAGUACCACACAGAGCACCACCUGCUGCGCUUCUACUUCUACACGUGUGGACUCUGUGUACAUGCAGAACGUCCUGGAGCAGCUCAGAGAGGGGCUCAGACUGAGGCUCAGGCCCGACCUCGUCAUCGUCAGCUCCUGUGUGUUGGACAUGAUGCGGUACACGACUACUGUUGACUUUUACACUACUCUUUCCUGAAAGUACUUUAUGUCACUGACACAAUAACAGUAAUGACAGAUAAUCCUAGUAAACCAGUUUUAAAUACACAGUAUCGUCAAAAGGCAGGAGCUGCAACAACAUAUAAACAGCAGAAUGAACCAGUAAUUAGCCAUAGAAGUUAGUUAUUCAACCCUCUACAGCUCAAACAUUAUUGUAUUACAACAAAAAUACCCAAAAUCGUCCCACUUUUACAAAGAAAAUGUACACACGAUAUGAUAUGGUAAUUACCAGAGGUGGCGUCUUGCAAGUCGUGACUUGGACUCCAGUCAGUCUUGAGUCACUGUUUUUAGGACUUGAGACUUAACUUGAUAAACUGGACUCGAAUUGGACUUGAAGGUCAAAGACUUGGACUUAACUCGGACUUGAGGCCUGUGACUUGAGAAGCACUUUUAAAUCUGAAUUCACUCUAUGAUCUUGUCAGAUUCCAUUUCUACAACUUACAUACUCUAUAAAUACUCACGUAUAAAUAUGCUAUGAUUUUUUAAAAAGUACAAUUCACCUUAAAAUUCACAUAAAUUGCAAAAAUCCAAGCUAUAUUUGGUACUUUGUUUUAAAGACUUGAAAUGACUUGAAGUAAGUAAGUCUUUAUUUAUAUGGGGCUUUUCACAGACAUUUUUGUCAGAAAGACACUUUACAGAGCAUUAUUCAGCAUUAUAUAUUCACUCCAUACCCUGGUGAUGAUAAGCUACUAUUGUAGCCACAGCUGCCCUGGGGCAGACUGACAGAAGCACAGCUGCCAUGCCAAUCAGCGCCAUCAGUCCAUCCGACCACCACCAUCACUCACACACACACACACACACACACCACUUUCAUACUAGGCAAUGUGGGUGCAGUGUCUUGCCUGAGGACCCAACGACAGUUAUUCCCACUGGCGCCCCACUGUGGCACCUGAUUUAACCAGUGGUCUCGCAUCCAAGUACUAACCAGGCCCGGCCUUGCUUAACUUCUGAGAUCUGACGGGAUCAGUACAAGCCAAUAUGGCCACAUGAACAUUGAAACUCAAAGCAGACGACUUGGAUUUGACUUGGACUUAUGGGGCAGUGACUCGAGACUCGACUUGGACUUGCCUGUGUUUGACUUGGUACUUGACCUGGAUUUGAGGUCAAAGACUUGAGACUUACUUGAGACUUGCAAAAUGACGACUUAGUCCCACCUCCAGUAAUUACUGUCACAGACUUAACUGAGAUGUUAUUGCUUAAACUGGAAUGUUCCACUGCAUUGCUUUAAACACAUCUUUCUCCAUGGAGACAAUUCUUAGUAAGAAUGCAUGUUUAUCCAGUUUUUAGCAAUAAAAACACCUGUAAUAAAAUAAAUGUAACAUAGAUAAGUUUAAAGCACAAUAACAUUUCCUUUGUGGCACUCUAAUCAGAAAAGUAGCAUACUGCACUUUGAAUUACAUUUUUACAUUUGAAUGCUUUUUAUGUAGUUCCUUUCCCAUUCCUUUUCAUUCAUCCAUCCUUCCUUCCUUUCUUCUUCAUGUUUUCUGCCUUGUUAAUUAUAAAAUCAAAGUAAUCCCUCAAAAAAUCCAAUAUCAGAGUGUUCAGUCCAACAUUGCUCUUGCUCAUUUGUGUCUGUCCCCAGAGCAAACAUCCGUGUACCGCAGAUCAAAGUGUCUGUUUGCAUGAGCGUCAUGGUAGCGCGGCAGGUCGUGUUCCUGGCGGAUUAUCUUACUGAGUGCUCUUAUUAUGAUGCAGUCAGAGGAGAUAAGGUGGUUAAUGCAUUGUCCCCUGACUCUGCUCCCCUCACCAGGGCCGCAGCUCCAGUGCCACUCUCCAUCUCUUUCACAUUAA
Long non-coding RNA from Boleophthalmus pectinirostris (great blue-spotted mudskipper), 2345 nucleotides. RefSeq lists it as uncharacterized. The transcript has 4 exons. The record is from RefSeq and is a predicted model, not a curated record. Lineage: Eukaryota; Metazoa; Chordata; Actinopteri; Gobiiformes; Gobiidae.